UGAGUAAUCUGCCCUCGACACUGGGAUAGCCCGGGGAAACCCGGAUUAAUACCGGAUAGCCUUUCGAGCUCUCGGGCUCGUCAGAAAAGGNUGGCUUCGGCUUUCGGUUGAGGAUGAGUCUUGGCGGCGGAUUAGCUUGUUGGUGAGGUAACGGCUCACCAAGGCGACAAUCCGUAGCUGGUCUGAGAGGACGAUCAGCCACACUGGGACUGAGACACGGCCCAGACCUCUACGGGGAGG
RNAcentral lists this ribosomal RNA (240 nucleotides) under uncultured bacterium. RNAcentral describes it as "partial 16S ribosomal RNA". It matches the Rfam family "Bacterial small subunit ribosomal RNA", at positions 118 to 348 of the family's 1533-position model. The record is from RNAcentral.